UACGGAGGGGGCUAGCGUUGUUCGGAAUCACUGGGCGUAAAGGGUGCGUAGGUGGCGUGGUAAGUCAGAUGUGAAAGCCCGGGGCUCAACCCCGGAAUUGCAUCCGAUACUACCAUGCUAGAGUACUGAAGAGGUGACUAGAAUUCUCGGUGUAGCAGUGAAAUGCGUAGAUAUCGAGAGGAAUACCAACGGCGAAGGCAGGUCACUGGGCAGUUACUGACACUGAGGCACGAAGGCCAGGGGAGCAAACGGG
RNAcentral lists this ribosomal RNA (253 nucleotides) under uncultured bacterium. RNAcentral's name for it is "partial 16S ribosomal RNA". It matches the Rfam family "Bacterial small subunit ribosomal RNA", at positions 524 to 776 of the family's 1533-position model. The record is from RNAcentral.